CCCACAAACUUUGUACUCUUUUCUUUUAAUCAGUAUUUGUCUAUUUGUUCUAAAAAAAAAAAAGUUCCAAAACGCUGAAACACCAAUUCAUAUCACAAAAUUGCAAACCCUUUUAACACCAACUCUUAUCACAAAAUUGCAAACCCAUUAACACCAACUCUUAUCACAAAAUUGCAAACCCAUUCAAACGGACACACCAACACUUUACGAUGUGAAUCAUAGUGAGCUUGUUCGAGUUCGUCGAUUGAGGUCACUUACCAGUAGAUUUGAUAUUUAGCUCGGUUGAUUGUGUCUGCUUCUCUCCAGGUACUCCCUCUGUCAUAAUUUUUUUGUAUUUAUUUUGCAAUUCCCAACAGUUGAUUCAAAAUUGUAGUCCCAUAUUCCUUUGAUAUACACUGUAUGCCUGAGAUGCGUAAUACAAUUUUUGGGGUUUGUUUUUGGGGGUUUGUCCCAUUAUAAUUUUCGAAUUAAAUUUUUUAGUGUUCUCUUUGGUAUUUUUUCUUAAAAUUUAUUCUGGAUUGGUUUCUUCUUAUGCUGCACGGUAGUGUUGAAAUUUUGGAGAUUUAAGCUUAUGUGUUUGCUUUCUUCAGAGGGUUUAUACUUUAUGCUUAAGAUACGUAAUUGGUGGAAUUGUUUAUGGUAGUUGUUUCUAGCAUUAGUUAUUAUGGUAAUUAAUAAGCUUAACUAAGGGUUGGUGUGAUAAACAUAGACAGUAGAUGAAUGUUGUUGGCUUGAUUAGAUCAU
Lycium ferocissimum is the source of this 744-nucleotide long non-coding RNA. RefSeq lists it as uncharacterized. Lineage: Eukaryota; Viridiplantae; Streptophyta; Magnoliopsida; Solanales; Solanaceae. The transcript has 3 exons. The record is from RefSeq and is a predicted model, not a curated record.